UACUUCUCUGCCAUUCAGACCAUACUGUCCUGAGAAUGUGCUCCAGAUCUGGACCAUGGAACAUAUGAGAAGGCAAAGUCCUGACACAAAACAAAGGGAGAAGAUGAAAGGGUAAAUGCUAUUUUUCCAUUACCAUGGCACUUAUUCAUAGACUGGGAGAAAUAAGUUGUGCCUGUUCUUGGAACGGAGCCAUUCCUUUGCUCAUGCAGAGACAUCUCUCAACCCAGCUGUGCUGCUUCUGAGUUCCUUGUUAUCAACUCUUACAACUGUGUGGGGGAAAGCAACAAAAUCAUGACAAUGAUAAAUGCUGCUUCUUUAGAAACUCACACAGUGCCAGCCCCAUUUGUGGUCCAAAAGCCCCGCUGUGGUCUGGCUCUGAGCAAACAGAGUUAUUAGCAGUCAUGGGAGGCUGAGAGGUUGGAGGUUCGAGCUGACCAGUUGUUACAGAAAAACAACAGAUUCCUCCUCUUCUUCUUUUUCUUUUUUUUCCUGGGCUCCUUUUAUUGCUGAAUCUUUUAUGCUCUGGAGAAGAGCACUGCUGUUGUCUGGUGGCUAAAAGCAAAACCACAUAAAGGGGGAAGAGAAAGGAGAGUAAAACAAAGCUUUCUCUCGCCCCCAGCUCGUUAACAAAUGCAGCAAGCGAUCCCGUAGGCACACCAGGUAGUGCCCCUGGGCUGGCACGGUGCCCAUCUGUGCCAUCUGCUGAGUAUCAAACCUUCCUCUGCUUCCCAUCACGUAGAACCUGCUGCAGCCGGGCGCUGCUUUCCUGCUGAAAUCGCUGCGGCACACAGCCAGCCCAGGCAAAACUGCUCAUCAGACAGCCAGAAUUUGCAGCUUCCAUCUGCCCCAAGCUGGACUUUGGGCUGGAGGAGUAGCUGCAGGCUGCUGAUCUCCUAAGAAGCACAGGACUUGGGACUAUCUAUCUGUGCCACAGUAGCAAGAGUUCAUUUCUCUCUUUCUGGUAAGUACAUGCAAUGUGGACACACAUGUAGCUUUUAUGUAACCCUCCUUUAGGGGAGCAUCUAA
RNAcentral lists this long non-coding RNA (1026 nucleotides) under Cyanistes caeruleus (blue tit). RNAcentral's name for it is "lncRNA (ENSCCEG00000021309.1)". Lineage: Eukaryota; Metazoa; Chordata; Aves; Passeriformes; Paridae. The record is from RNAcentral.